AUUGAACGCUGGCGGCAUGCUUUACACAUGCAAGUCGAACGGCAGCGCGGGCUUCGGCCUGGCGGCGAGUGGCGAACGGGUGAGUAAUGCAUCGGAACGUGCCCAGUAGUGGGGGAUAGCCCGGCGAAAGCCGGAUUAAUACCGCAUACGACCUGAGGGUGAAAGCGGGGGACCGAAAGGCCUCGCGCUAUUGGAGCGGCCGAUGUCGGAUUAGCUAGUUGGUGGGGUAAAGGCUUACCAAGGCGACGAUCCGUAGCUGGUCUGAGAGGACGACCAGCCACACUGGGACUGAGACACGGCCUAGACUCCUACGAGAGGCAGCAGUGGGGAAUUUUGGACAAUGGGGGCAACCCUGAUCCAGCCAUGCCGCGUGCGGGAAGAAGGCCUUCGGGUUGUAAACCGCUUUUGUUCGGGAAGAAAUCCUCUGGGCUAAUACCCCGGGGGGAUGACGGUACCGGAAGAAUAAGCACCGGCUAACUACGUG
RNAcentral lists this ribosomal RNA (484 nucleotides) under uncultured bacterium. RNAcentral describes it as "partial 16S ribosomal RNA". It matches the Rfam family "Bacterial small subunit ribosomal RNA", at positions 29 to 507 of the family's 1533-position model. The record is from RNAcentral.